GACGUAGGAGGCGAGCGUUGUCCGGAUUCAUUGGGCGUAAAGAGCACGCAGGCGGUUUGGCAAGUCGGAUGUGAAAACCCGAAGCUCAACUUCGGGCCUGCAUCCGAAACUGCCCGACUAGAGGUAGGUAGGGGAGAUCGGAAUUCCUGGUGUAGCGGUGAAAUGCGCAGAUAUCAGGAAGAACACCCGUGGCGAAAGCGGCUCUCUGGAACGGUACUGACGCUGAGACGCGAAAGCGUGGGGAGCGAACAGG
Molecule: ribosomal RNA, 253 nt
Filed under: uncultured bacterium
Lineage: Bacteria
Description: partial 16S ribosomal RNA
Rfam family: Bacterial small subunit ribosomal RNA
Source: RNAcentral